GACAGAGGUGGCAAGCGUUGUUCGGAUUUACUGGGCUUAAAGGGCGUGUAGGCGUCCUGAUAAGUCAGAUGUGGAAGCCUUGGGCUUAACCCGAGAAUUGCAUUUGAAACUGUCAGGAUUGAGUCGUGCACGGGAGGGCGGAAUUCCUGGUGUAGCGGUGAAAUGCGUAGAUAUCAGGAGGAAGGCCGGUGGUGAAGAUGGCCCUCUGGGCAAUGACUGACGCUGAGGCGCGAAAGCGUGGGUAGCAAACAGG
Molecule: ribosomal RNA, 253 nt
Filed under: uncultured bacterium
Lineage: Bacteria
Description: partial 16S ribosomal RNA
Rfam family: Bacterial small subunit ribosomal RNA
Source: RNAcentral